Myotis brandtii (Brandt's bat) is the source of this 75-nucleotide non-coding RNA. The record is from Rfam. NCBI's taxonomy places the organism in Eukaryota, Metazoa, Chordata, Mammalia, Chiroptera, Vespertilionidae.
GGUGGUUCUCCAGUGAUGCACUUCAGAAUCAGGCUCCCUCCUCUCUGGUUCCAGGUGUGUCACCCAAGAACCACA